This 475-nucleotide long non-coding RNA is filed under the name Homo sapiens (human). RNAcentral's name for it is "HSALNT0079478". Lineage: Eukaryota; Metazoa; Chordata; Mammalia; Primates; Hominidae. The record is from RNAcentral.
GCCACUGCACUCCAGCCUGGGUGACAGAGCGAAACUCGGUCUCAAAAAAAUAAAUAAAAAAGAAAGAAAAGAAAUAAUAGAUCAAUCAAAGGAUUAAUAUAUAAUAUCUAGAAGAAUACCAGUAAUUUAGUAUGCAAUAAAAAUGGAGUUUUUAAUCAGUGGAGAAAAGAUGAAUUAUUCAGUAACUGGUAUUUAACUGGUACUGGGGCAACUGGCUAACUCUAUAGGAUAUUUUUAAAGUCGUAUACGAAAAUUAAUCCUAAAAGGAUUAAACUCUGAAAAGGAAGAAAGGAAGGAAAGACAGUAACAAACAGGCUUGCAAAUACUAAGAAAAAAUACAGGAAGAUGUAAAUAUUGUAAUAGGAAAUGUAAAUAUUGUAAUAGGGAAGAUCUUUAUAAAAUUGUGACACUCAAGAAAAAGAGCGUAAAAAUACUAAUGGUUCAUGAAAUUAGGAAAAUAUUUUCAACAUCGCUG